This 107-nucleotide small nucleolar RNA is filed under the name Gossypium hirsutum (cotton). Its description in RNAcentral is "Plant small nucleolar RNA R71". It matches the Rfam family "Plant small nucleolar RNA R71". Rfam says of the family: R71 is a member of the C/D box family of snoRNAs containing the C (UGAUGA) and D (CUGA) box motifs. Multiple nearly identical copies of this snoRNA have been identified in Arabidopsis, and it is thought to function as a 2'-O-ribose methylation guide for 18S ribosomal RNA. The record is from Rfam by way of RNAcentral. Lineage: Eukaryota; Viridiplantae; Streptophyta; Magnoliopsida; Malvales; Malvaceae. RNAcentral also lists the same sequence under 1 other name.
AAUCCAUGCAUCGGACAUCUCUAAGUUAACUUCUUAAAUCAUUCCCAAACUUCAUAUAAUGUUUCAUCCUCUAUUUUCCAAAAAGAUGUUAUGUCAUUUCUAAGUUU